RNAcentral lists this ribosomal RNA (1393 nucleotides) under uncultured bacterium. RNAcentral's name for it is "partial 16S ribosomal RNA". It matches the Rfam family "Bacterial small subunit ribosomal RNA". The record is from RNAcentral.
GAAUUCGCCCUUAGAGUUUGCUUUUGGCUCAGGACGAACGCUGGCGGCGUGCCUAACACAUGCAAGUCGAACGGAGAUGUUUAUUUCGGUAGAUAUCUUAGUGGCGCACGGGUGAGUAACGCGUGAAUAACCUGACCCGAAGAGGGGGGAUAACACCUGGAAACAAGUGCUAAUACCGCAUAAGACCACGGACCGGCAUCGGUCAGAGGUCAAAGGAGGAAUCCGCUUUGGGAGGGGUUCGCGUCCCAUUAGGUAGUUGGUGAGGUAACGGCCCACCAAGCCGACGAUGGGUAGCCGAGCUGAGAGGCUGAUCGGCCACACUGGAACUGAGACACGGUCCAGACUCCUACGGGAGGCAGCAGUGGGGAAUAUUGGGCAAUGGGCGCAAGCCUGACCCAGCAACGCCGCGUGAGGGAAGAAGGUUUUCGGAUUGUAAACCUCUGUCGCAGGGGACGAAGGAAGUGACGGUACCCUGUAAGAGAGCCCCGGCUAACUACGUGCCAGCAGCCGCGGUAAUACGUAGGGGGCGAGCGUUGUCCGGAAUUACUGGGCGUAAAGGGAGCGUAGGCGGUCGAUUAAGUUAGAUGUGAAACCCCCGGGCUUAACUUGGGGACUGCAUCUAAUACUGGUUGACUUAGAGUACAGGAGAGGGAAGCGGAAUUCCUAGUGUAGCGGUGAAAUGCGUAGAUAUUAGGAGGAACACCAGUGGCGAAGGCGGCUUUCUGGACUGACACUGACGCUGAGGCUCGAAAGCGUGGGGAGCAAACAGGAUUAGAUACCCUGGUAGUCCACGCUGUAAACGAUGGAUACUUAGGUGUGGGGGGGACUGACCCCCUCCGUGCCGCAGUUAACACAAAUAAGUAUCCCACCUGGGGAGUACGAUCGCAAAGGUUGAAACUCAAAGGAAAUUGACGGGGGCCCGCACAAGCGGUGGAGUAUGUGGUUUAAUUCGAAGCAACGCGAAGAACCUUACCAGGGCUUGACAUCCCGGUGACCGGACUAGAGAUAGUCCUUUUCCUUCGGGGACGCCGGUGACAGGUGGUGCAUGGUUGUCGUCAGCUCGUGUCGUGAGAUGUUGGGUUAAGUCCCGCAACGAGCGCAACCCCUAUUGUUAGUUGCUACGCAAGAGCACUCUAGCGAGACUGCCGUUGACAAAACGGAGGAAGGUGGGGACGACGUCAAAUCAGCACGGCCCUUACGUCCGGGGCUACACACGUGUUACAAUGGCAGGUACAGAGAGAUGGUGUUCUGCAAAGCGCAUCUAAUCCUUAAAGCCUGUCUCAGUUCGGACUGGGGUCUGCAACCCGACCCCACGAAGCUGGAUUCGCUAGUAAUCGCGCAUCAGCCAUGGCGCGGUGAAUACGUUCCCGGGCCUUGCACUCACCGCCCGUCA